RNAcentral lists this ribosomal RNA (465 nucleotides) under Vreelandella stevensii. Its description in RNAcentral is "partial 16S ribosomal RNA". It matches the Rfam family "Bacterial small subunit ribosomal RNA", at positions 338 to 795 of the family's 1533-position model. Lineage: Bacteria; Pseudomonadati; Pseudomonadota; Gammaproteobacteria; Oceanospirillales; Halomonadaceae. The record is from RNAcentral.
CCUACGGGCGGCUGCAGUGGGGAAUAUUGGACAAUGGGGGCAACCCUGAUCCAGCCAUGCCGCGUGUGUGAAGAAGGCCCUCGGGUUGUAAAGCACUUUCAGUGAGGAAGAACGCCUGGUGGUUAAUAUCCAUCAGGAAAGACAUCACUCACAGAAGAAGCACCGGCUAACUCCGUGCCAGCAGCCGCGGUAAUACGGAGGGUGCGAGCGUUAAUCGGAAUUACUGGGCGUAAAGCGCGCGUAGGUGGCUUGAUAAGCCGGUUGUGAAAGCCCCGGGCUCAACCUGGGAACGGCAUCCGGAACUGUCAAGCUAGAGUGCAGGAGAGGAAGGUAGAAUUCCCGGUGUAGCGGUGAAAUGCGUAGAGAUCGGGAGGAAUACCAGUGGCGAAGGCGGCCUUCUGGACUGACACUGACACUGAGGUGCGAAAGCGUGGGUAGCAAACAGGAUUAGAUACCCGAGUAGUC